Molecule: long non-coding RNA, 1012 nt
Organism: Oncorhynchus tshawytscha (Chinook salmon)
Lineage: Eukaryota; Metazoa; Chordata; Actinopteri; Salmoniformes; Salmonidae
Source: Ensembl
GGCAGUCUGGUGAUUAAAGUGUGUGUGUGUGUGUGGGCAGUUCAGUGUGCUUGCAGAUUAAUGUGCGCAUGUGCCUCUGCUGAACAUGUGUCUAUUAAAGCAGAGUCUGAUCUCAGAGAGACUCAGAUGGAGAGACAGAGAGACAAACAGACAGAUAGACAGACAGACAGACACCAUGUCUCCCUCCCAGUCCUCCCUACUUCUGCUACUGCUGAUGGUCUCCUGCUCCUGGGCCUCACACUUUUUAGGAGGAACCAUGACCUUCAACCCCAGAGGGACCAACCCAGACGGAACCUACAGGGUGGACCUCCGUUACAAGACAGCCUUCCACUCUACCGUCUGCCUAACUGAUACCUGGUCGUGUAUCAGUGGGGACUGUGGGAAUGAGAUCAGUUUAGUGGUUAACACAGUGGACCAGGGGAUAUCUGAGGACUGGUGUCAGACAGAGGGAGUCAUGACUAGACACGUCUCCAAUAACACACAGACUUUUGAUCUGCUAUUGGAUGGCGGAAACUGGAUAAACAAUGUUAAUUCUGUUAGUGCUUGGAGGCUGUGGACUCAUGUGGAUCUUGGGGUCAGGUCUGACACGAAGACAAUCAACCGAUCUCCACAGACCACUGUCGUACCUCUGAUGCGUGUCCCUGCUAAUUGUCCAAGAGAUUUCAACCUGUUGUCGUUUGAUCCAGACGGGGAUGAGGUCAGAUGCAGAUAUGCAGUACCAACGGACGAGUGUGUCACAUCAAGUGACCUUCCUAAUGACUUCACUCUACAAGAGGUGUGAGUGUUGACGAGGACAAGGCUCGAGAUCACUCUGUCAUGCUGAUUGAGUUCGAAUAACAGACUGGAAGCUUCAAAAGGAGGGUGGUGCUUGGAAUCAUUGUUCUUCCUCUGUCAACCAUGGUUACCUGCAAGGAAACACGUGUCGUCAUCAUUGCUUUGCACAAAAAGGGCUUUACAGGCAAGGAUAUUGCUGCCAGUAAGAUUGCACCUAAAUCAACCAUUUAUCGGAUCA